GAUGGCGUGCCUUUUGUAGAAUGAACCGGCGAGUUACGAUUUGAUGCAAGGUUAAGCAGUAAAUGUGGAGCCGUAGCGAAAGCGAGUCUGAAUAGGGCGUUUAGUAUUUGGUCGUAGACCCGAAACCGGGUGAUCUACCCUUGGUCAGGUUGAAGUUCAGGUAACACUGAAUGGAGGACCGAACCGACUUACGUUGAAAAGUGAGCGGAUGAACUGAGGGUAGCGGAGAAAUUCCAAUCGAACCUGGAGAUAGCU
Molecule: ribosomal RNA, 255 nt
Filed under: Staphylococcus aureus
Lineage: Bacteria; Bacillati; Bacillota; Bacilli; Caryophanales; Staphylococcaceae
Description: partial 23S ribosomal RNA
Rfam family: Bacterial large subunit ribosomal RNA
Source: RNAcentral